RNAcentral lists this long non-coding RNA (1828 nucleotides) under Homo sapiens (human). RNAcentral's name for it is "HSALNT0090084". The stretch from base 597 to 698 matches the Rfam family "Y RNA". The record is from RNAcentral. Lineage: Eukaryota; Metazoa; Chordata; Mammalia; Primates; Hominidae.
AAUUUAAAAAUUAGCCAGGCACAGUGGCAUGCACCUAUAAUCUCAGCCAUUUGGGAGGCUGGAGCAGGAGAAUUACUUGAGCCCAGGAGUUUGAGGCUGAAUUGAGCCAUGAUCACACCACGGCACUCCAGCCUGGGCUACAGAGUGAAACUCCACCUUAAAAAAAAAAUGAAGUGGCAUAAUUGAUAUACUAAGAAAGAAGACUAAAUGGAAUCAUAUAUUAUAAUAUCAUUCUAUAAUAUAUGAUAUAUAUAUCAUACAUAUCAUUAUAUAACUAUAUCAUAAUAAAAUGCUCCAUUAAUACCUCAAAAGUCAGAAGAAGUAUGGAAGACAAAAAUAGGAACAAAUAGCAAGGGCAACAAAUAGAAAAUAGUCACAAAUAUCACAGAUAUUAAUCCAAUUAUAUUAAUAAUUAUAUUUAAGAGUCAGCUGUCUAAAUACUCCAAUUAAAAGACAGAUUGCCAGAGUGGAUCAAAAAAUAAGACCCAGCUAUAUAUUGUCUACAAGAAACUCUUUUAAGACAUAGACACAUAUAGAUUAAAAGUAAAGGGAUGGAGAAAGAUAUACUAUGCUAACACUAAUCAAAAGAUAGUAAGGGCUGGUUGGAGUGCAGUGCUAUUUACAAUUAAUUGAUCAUAACUGGUUACAGAUUUAUUUGUUCUCUCUCUACUUCCAUUGCUUCACUUGACUAGCUUUGAAAGAAAGAAAGGAGAGAGAAAGAAAGAAAGAGAGAAAGAAGGAGACAGAAAGAAAGAAAGAAAGAAAGAAAGAAAGAAAGAAAGAAAGAAAGAAAGAAAGAAAGAAAGAAAAAGAAAGAAAAAGAAAGAAGAAAGAAAGAAAGAGGAAGUGUGGAUCUUGGAUCGUGACAUCAGCAAGAUGGUGGAAUAGAACUUUCCAGCACUUAUCCCCUCAUAGAAACAUCUAUUUGAACAACUCUCCAUGCAUGAAAAUAUCUUCAUAAGAGCUAAGGAAUUCAGUUGAGAGAUUAUGGCACUUGUGUGUAGCAGAGAAUUACAAAAGGACCUACUGAAGAAAGUAGGAAGAACAGGUUCACAUUUUCUGCAUCACAUCACCCCUCCAAGCCAGGCAACACGACAUGGAGAGAGAUAUCCUCCAAGUGGGGGAAGGAAAGUAAAGUGAGUCCCAGACUUUGCCACAGGCCUGGCACCAGUGUUGCUCCAGUGAAACUCAGUGCCGGGCUGGUUCGCAUAGCCCUAGGCUCCAAGCUGGUACCUGCAGACUAAGCCUCCAGGCCUGCCCAGUGGCACACUAAACCCCACAACUCCAGGCUCCAGGCCAGUCCCCACAGAUAUAGGCUCCAAGUCACCCAGAACCAGGCCAGUCCCUGCUGCCCCAGACUCCAGGCUAGCCCCCGUAACUUCAUGCUCCAGCAAACCCAGGAUACAAGCCGACCCUAGCAGACUCCAGCCCCUGAUAACCCAGGCACUGGGGGUGAGCACCCCAAUGUAAACUAUGGACUUCAGGUAGUAAUGAUGUGUCAAUGUAGAUUCAUCAGUUGUAACAAAUGCACCACUGUGGUGCCGGAUGUCCAUAGUAGGGGAGGUUGUGUGUCUGUGGGGAUGGGGAGCAUAUAUGCUCUCUAUACUUUCCACUCAAUUUUGCUAUGAACCUAAAACUGCUCUAAAAAUAAAGAUUAUUAAAUUAAGAAAACAUCAGUGAGUAGGACUUAUAUGUGCUCAUAUGAAAACAAGAUAUUUAUGUGUGUUUAUAUGAAAAUACCUUCUAUUAUCUUAUAGAAUGUUUCCAUCCAUCUAAAAACAUGUAGUGUAUAUUUGUAGAAAAUUUCUAAAACCAUACCUGUGAAAUG